Molecule: ribosomal RNA, 620 nt
Filed under: Parachremylus sp. AZR-2008
Lineage: Eukaryota; Metazoa; Arthropoda; Insecta; Hymenoptera; Braconidae
Description: eukaryotic LSU rRNA
Rfam family: Eukaryotic large subunit ribosomal RNA
Source: RNAcentral
AAACCCAAAAGAUCGAAUGGGGAGAUUCAUCGUCAGCUCAUUUUGUAUAUAUGCAAGUUAUGAUGUGAGUUACUACUUGUAGUAUUGCUUAUACAUUCUUGUAUAUUUAUAAGCAAGAUGUGGUCGGCGUGCACUUCUCCCCUAGUAGGACGUCGCGACCCGUUGAGUGUCGGUUUAUGGCCUGAGUGGUAGCCUUUAAUAAAUUUCAUUUGUUGAAGACCCUCGGUGUUUCCUGACCGACUGCUCGGCGGUACUCGUACGGUAUGAAGCCGCAAAUAAUAUGCGUCCAUAUCCGUCACAAGUGAGGACUUUUGUAAGUAAUACGGACCUAGUGCCGUCACUUCAAUUGGCCUACUGUUGGUUGUCGGUAUUCUAGGACUGGCUUGAAUAAAUACCGGUCUGCGAUGCUACUGCUUUGGGUACUUUCAGGACCCGUCUUGAAACACGGACCAAGGAGUCUAACAUGUGCGCGAGUCAUUGGGUUAUAUUUAAAAUUAAACCUAAAGGCGCAAUGAAAGUAAAAGUUGGAUUACGUCGACCGAGGGAGGAUGAGUUAUGUUAAAAUAUAGCUCCGCACUCCCGGGGCGUCUCAUUUUCAUUACGAAAAGAGGCGCACCUAG